Xenopus laevis (African clawed frog) is the source of this 1120-nucleotide long non-coding RNA. RefSeq lists it as uncharacterized. Lineage: Eukaryota; Metazoa; Chordata; Amphibia; Anura; Pipidae. The transcript has 2 exons. The record is from RefSeq and is a predicted model, not a curated record.
CUCAAGUUUUACUCGGCUCCUCAUCCCUCAUCCCUCCAUGUUGUCUCCCGAGUCUCCCUCUCCACUUGCAGGGUCCCUCUCUGCUCUUGCUCCCCCUCUUUACCAGCACUCGCUCAACUUUCACUCCCCUCUCCCGGGUUCAAUCUCUCAUUGUGUGUCCUACAAUGUCCUUAACUUGCAGCUGAUGACAAAGAAGAAGACAAGGGGCAGAACACAUUGAACUAAAGGUGAUGCUGCUCCUGCCACCAUUGCUCCAGCUGCAGAAUUCGGGGGACCACCACAGGAGGAAAGACGGUGACUGAGUGAGAGACCUGCAGAACAACGGGGGCUUCAGGAGAGGCUCUUUCAACAGCACCACGUCAGGGUCUCUGGAUGUGAAGAUGUGACUCAUACAUGGCACCAUGCGUGACAUUCAUUCAUCCAGGAGCUGGUGGCAACUGUUAGAGAACAGCCUCACUGACCAGAAGGCUCUGCUGAGGGUCCAGCCCCUGGUCCUGCUGCUCCCCCUCCACCCCCUACAUCUCCUGAACAGCGCAGAGGAAGGGGGAGUAGAAGGGGACAAGGUCCUGUCUGAGGGGACAAACAUCUCUAGCUCCAGUCUGUGUCACUUCUCCAACUAACACCGGACUCUUUGCCCAUUUUCUCCUGGCAAAGAACUUCACCCAAUUGACACUUCAGGUGUGACUCUGUCCGUUACUCAGCAAUGGGACUGACUCCCAAACAACACAUCCCAUUGUUUAGACCAUGCUGCAUUCUCGUCACUGAGGGGUGUCAUAUCUCACACCCAUUGGUGCCCUGUCCAACAACAUCUGGAAAAGCAUUUACUAACAUCAAAGUGAAUUUGCUCUAACAUAUGGCGAUGCUGCAGUGUUUCCCAAAACAUUCACUUGGGCCCAAAAUGUUACCUGUAAGGGUUAAUGAAUUCCAUUGGAAGUUUAUGACUACACGUUUUAUUGUGUAUUUAUCACUAGUGCAGUGUUGCUUCAAAGGUUCCAUAUACUAAUCAAGCUCUGUAUUUAUGUGGUUUACAUGUUAUGUGUAUUCAUGUAACAAUGGCCUAUAUUCUGCAACUGUCAAACUGAAAACACUUGUGCUUUGCACUAUAAAGUAUUGUUGGCUA